GACGAACGCUGGCGGCGUGCUUAACACAUGCAAGUCGAACGGAAAGGCCCUGCUUGCAGGGUACUCGAGUGGCGAACGGGUGAGUAACACGUGGGUGUUCUGCCCUGCACUUCGGGAUAAGCCUGGGAAACUGGGUCUAAUACCGGAUAGGAGCCAUUUUUAGUGUGAUGGUUGGAAAGUUUUUUCGGUGUGGGAUGAGCUCGCGGCCUAUCAGCUUGUUGGUGGGGUAAUGGCCUACCAAGGCGGGGACGGGUAGCCGGCCUGGGAGGGUGGACGGCCACAAUGGGACUGAGAGAAGGCCCAGACUCCUACGGGGGGCAGCAGUGGGGAAUAUUGCACCAUGGGCGCAAGCCUGAUGCAGCGACGCCGCGGGGGGGAGUACGGGCUUCGGGUUGGAAACUCCUUUCGCUAGGGACGAAGCUUUUUGUGACGGUACCUAGAUAAGAAGCACCGGCUAACUACGUG
Molecule: ribosomal RNA, 465 nt
Filed under: uncultured bacterium
Lineage: Bacteria
Description: partial 16S ribosomal RNA
Rfam family: Bacterial small subunit ribosomal RNA
Source: RNAcentral